GAUGAAGAACGAAGUGAAAUGCGAUAAGUAGUGUGAAUUGCAGAAUUCAGUGAAUCAUCGAAUCUUUGAACGCACAUUGCGCCCUUUGGUAUUCCUUAGGGCAUGCCUGUUCGAGCGUCAUUUAAACCUUCAAGCUAAGCUUGGUGUUGGGUGACUGUCCGCUUCACGGCGGACUCGCCUCAAAAUUAUUGGCGGCCGGUACAUUGGCUUCGAGCGCAGCAGAAACGCGAACUCGGGCCCGUCGUAUUGGCUCCCAGAAGCUAUCUUCACAAUUUUGACCUCGGAUCAGGUAGGGAUACCCGCUGAACUUAAGCAUAUCAAUAAGCGGAGGA
RNAcentral lists this unclassified non-coding RNA (332 nucleotides) under soil metagenome. RNAcentral's name for it is "partial contains 5.8S ribosomal RNA, internal transcribed spacer 2, and large subunit ribosomal RNA". The stretch from base 1 to 120 matches the Rfam family "5.8S ribosomal RNA", at positions 35 to 154 of the family's 154-position model. The record is from RNAcentral.